UGAGUAACCUGCCCUUAACUCUGGGAUAAGCCUGGGAAAACUGGGUCUAAUACCGGAUAUGACUCCUCAUCGCAUGGUGGGGGGGUGGAAAGCUUUAUUGUGGUUUUGGAUGGACUCGCGGCCUAUCAGCUUGUUGGUGGGGUGAUGGCCUACCAAGGCGACGACGGGUAGCCGGCCUGAGAGGGCGUUCUGCCACACGUGGGACCGAGACGACGGCCCAGACCUCCGUACGGGGAGGCAG
Molecule: ribosomal RNA, 241 nt
Filed under: uncultured bacterium
Lineage: Bacteria
Description: partial 16S ribosomal RNA
Rfam family: Bacterial small subunit ribosomal RNA
Source: RNAcentral